Molecule: transfer RNA, 76 nt
Filed under: Tessaracoccus flavescens
Lineage: Bacteria; Bacillati; Actinomycetota; Actinomycetes; Propionibacteriales; Propionibacteriaceae
Description: tRNA-Met
Rfam family: tRNA
About the family: Transfer RNA (tRNA) molecules are approximately 80 nucleotides in length. Their secondary structure includes four short double-helical elements and three loops (D, anti-codon, and T loops).
Source: RNAcentral
GACGGGGUAGCUCAGUCGGUAGAGCAAGCGGCUCAUAAUCGCUGUGUCGGGGGUUCAAGUCCCCCCCUCGUCACCA